This 1372-nucleotide ribosomal RNA is filed under the name uncultured bacterium. Its description in RNAcentral is "bacterial SSU rRNA". It matches the Rfam family "Bacterial small subunit ribosomal RNA", at positions 28 to 1381 of the family's 1533-position model. The record is from RNAcentral.
GAUGAACGCUGGCGGCGUGCCUAAUACAUGCAAGUCGAGCGAACGGACGAGAAGCUUGCUUCUCUGAUGUUAGCGGCGGACGGGUGAGUAACACGUGGAUAACCUACCUAUAAGACUGGGAUAACUUCGGGAAACCGGAGCUAAUACCGGAUAAUAUUUUGAACCGCAUGGUUCAAAAGUGAAAGACGGUCUUGCUGUCACUUAUAGAUGGAUCCGCGCUGCAUUAGCUAGUUGGUAAGGUAACGGCUUACCAAGGCAACGAUGCAUAGCCGACCUGAGAGGGUGAUCGGCCACACUGGAACUGAGACACGGUCCAGACUCCUACGGGAGGCAGCAGUAGGGAAUCUUCCGCAAUGGGCGAAAGCCUGACGGAGCAACGCCGCGUGAGUGAUGAAGGUCUUCGGAUCGUAAAACUCUGUUAUUAGGGAAGAACAUAUGUGUAAGUAACUGUGCACAUCUUGACGGUACCUAAUCAGAAAGCCACGGCUAACUACGUGCCAGCAGCCGCGGUAAUACGUAGGUGGCAAGCGUUAUCCGGAAUUAUUGGGCGUAAAGCGCGCGUAGGCGGUUUUUUAAGUCUGAUGUGAAAGCCCACGGCUCAACCGUGGAGGGUCAUUGGAAACUGGAAAACUUGAGUGCAGAAGAGGAAAGUGGAAUUCCAUGUGUAGCGGUGAAAUGCGCAGAGAUAUGGAGGAACACCAGUGGCGAAGGCGACUUUCUGGUCUGUAACUGACGCUGAUGCGCGAAAGCGUGGGGAUCAAACAGGAUUAGAUACCCUGGUAGUCCACGCCGUAAACGAUGAGUGCUAAGUGUUAGGGGGUUUCCGCCCCUUAGUGCUGCAGCUAACGCAUUAAGCACUCCGCCUGGGGAGUACGACCGCAAGGUUGAAACUCAAAGGAAUUGACGGGGACCCGCACAAGCGGUGGAGCAUGUGGUUUAAUUCGAAGCAACGCGAAGAACCUUACCAAAUCUUGACAUCCUUUGACAACUCUAGAGAUAGAGCCUUCCCCUUCGGGGGACAAAGUGACAGGUGGUGCAUGGUUGUCGUCAGCUCGUGUCGUGAGAUGUUGGGUUAAGUCCCGCAACGAGCGCAACCCUUAAGCUUAGUUGCCAUCAUUAAGUUGGGCACUCUAAGUUGACUGCCGGUGACAAACCGGAGGAAGGUGGGGAUGACGUCAAAUCAUCAUGCCCCUUAUGAUUUGGGCUACACACGUGCUACAAUGGACAAUACAAAGGGCAGCGAAACCGCGAGGUCAAGCAAAUCCCAUAAAGUUGUUCUCAGUUCGGAUUGUAGUCUGCAACUCGACUACAUGAAGCUGGAAUCGCCAGUAAUCGUAGAUCAGCAUGCUACGGUGAAUACGUUCCCGGGUCU